Long non-coding RNA from Humulus lupulus (European hop), 101 nucleotides. RefSeq lists it as uncharacterized. The transcript has 3 exons. NCBI's taxonomy places the organism in Eukaryota, Viridiplantae, Streptophyta, Magnoliopsida, Rosales, Cannabaceae. The record is from RefSeq and is a predicted model, not a curated record.
GAUUUCGAAAUCCCUAAGGGUGUGUUCAAGAGAGUGGCCAUAGUUUUUGGAUCCUUUAUUUCUAUCAAGAAAGGGCGGACGGGCCGAUGUUAUUCAAGGAC